AUUAAUUCUGUCCACACCUGAAGUUAGUAUUUGUUAUAGGUCUUUUGUUUUUUUUUAAAUGUGUUGUUUGACAUUAUUUUAUGUUGGUUAAAAUUUUUCAAUGUUUUGACAUUGUCAUUUGUGCGGUCGUAUUUUAAUUAUUAAAAAUUAUAAAAUUGUUAGAAUCAUGCAAAAAAAUUGUGAGGAUUGUGAGAAAAAUUGAUUCGAUUGCUGUUAGAGUAAGCUGCAUAAGUUGAUGAUCCUCCUUAUAUUUCGAUCAACGAUGUCAGCGACAUUAAAAAACUGGAAAAAAAUGUGGACAAUGAAUAUUUGCGCAGAAGAAUUGAGAGAGUUAAAAAAAUAAAUAAAAAUGAAGAAAAAGAAGAUGAUUCAGAAAAAAAAAUUAAAUUAAAUUUAAAAAAAAUUGAUUAUGUUAAAUAUUUAAGGAAGUUCUCUCCCUCCAACGUCAGUCAAAUCAAUGCCCAUUUAAGUUUUCAUUUGUAUCACGUAGUACUAGCUCAACGCUUGGCAACGUUGGAUUAUAUUUC
Long non-coding RNA from Leptopilina boulardi, 527 nucleotides. RefSeq lists it as uncharacterized. The record is from RefSeq and is a predicted model, not a curated record. NCBI's taxonomy places the organism in Eukaryota, Metazoa, Arthropoda, Insecta, Hymenoptera, Figitidae. The transcript has 2 exons.